UGUGUCUUAAAAAUUAUUUAUUAUUAAUUAAUAGUUAAUGAAUGAAAAUGUCGAAAUUUAACUUAAAACUGUUAAUUACUGUGUUUGUGCUACGUUUUGAUAAAGUAAAUAACACACAGAGUCACGGACUUCCACAAUUUGAAGAAUAUUUUUGCAAAAACAAUAGAAAAGUUGUGUCGUUAUCUCAUAUCGGAUUAGGUAAUGGCUACAAAGUCAUGAUUAAUAAGAAAUUAAAUUCUUCAAUAGAAAUAAAAGUAAAACUAGACUCUGUUGGAACAAUCUCAUUCAUAGGUGAUGCAAGAUUUACAGGCGACAAAGAUCUUAUUAAUAAUAUAUAUAAUUUUAUUUUACUCGAAGAUUCUCGUAAUUUUACCUUCAGUGUUAAGGGAAAAUUACGACCUCAUCAUCCACCUUACGUGAUAAGUUUGAAAAUCAAUGGCAAAGAAAACUGCUUUAAUCCUAACAGGUCAUAUUUUGAAAAAUAUCAACCAGGUACUGAAGCAUUUUGGCCUCAAGCGACUGACAAAUUCUGUGGAAGACGUAGAAUAAAUACAAAAUAUACAGAACUACUGGUUAGUGGAUCCGCAUCAAAAUCCGGUGAAUGGCCUUGGCAUAUUACAAUGUACAAACUCAAGAAGGAUACUCUUGAAUACAUAUGUGGUGGAACCCUUAUUUCAAAAUUUUCAGUUUUAACAG
This is a long non-coding RNA of Vanessa tameamea, 696 nucleotides long. RefSeq lists it as uncharacterized. The transcript is spliced from 3 exons. The record is from RefSeq and is a predicted model, not a curated record. NCBI's taxonomy places the organism in Eukaryota, Metazoa, Arthropoda, Insecta, Lepidoptera, Nymphalidae.